This 440-nucleotide ribosomal RNA is filed under the name Planococcus maritimus. RNAcentral describes it as "bacterial SSU rRNA". It matches the Rfam family "Bacterial small subunit ribosomal RNA", at positions 338 to 795 of the family's 1533-position model. Lineage: Bacteria; Bacillati; Bacillota; Bacilli; Caryophanales; Caryophanaceae. The record is from RNAcentral.
CCUACGGGUGGCUGCAGCAAGGAAUCUUCCCCAAUGGCCGCACGGCUGAGGGAGCAACGCCGCGUGGAGGACGACGGCCUUCGGGUUGUAAACUCCUUUUCGGGGGGACGAGAGGGACGGUACCCUCGGAACAAGCCCCGGCUAACUCUGUGCCAGCAGCCGCGGUAAGACAGAGGGGGCAAGCGUUGUCCGGACUUACUGGGCGUACAGCGCGCGCAGGCGGUCGAGUAUGUGGCGGGUGACAUUCCGGGGCUUAACCCCGGACGGCGCCGGUAGACAGCUGGACUGGAGGCAGGGAGAGGGCAGUGGAAUACCCGGUGGAGCGGUGAAAUGCGUAGAGAGCGGGUGGAACACCAGCGGCGAAGGCGGCUGCCUGGCCCUGGCCUGACGCUGAGGCGCGAGAGCGUGGGGAGCGAACGGGAUUAGAUACCCCGGUAGUC